RNAcentral lists this ribosomal RNA (434 nucleotides) under uncultured bacterium. RNAcentral describes it as "bacterial SSU rRNA". It matches the Rfam family "Bacterial small subunit ribosomal RNA", at positions 958 to 1392 of the family's 1533-position model. The record is from RNAcentral.
AACGCGAAUAACCUUACCUGGGUUAAAUCCCAGUUGUAAAGUGCAGAGAUGCACUCCCCUCGCAAGAGGCGGCUGGGAAGGUGCUGCAUGGCUGUCGUCAGCUCGUGUCGUGAGAUGUUGGGUUAAGUCCCGCAACGAGCGCAACCCUUACCACUAGUUGCCAGCAUUUAGUUGGGCACUCUAGCGGAACUGCCGGUGAUAAACCGGAGGAAGGUGGGGAUGACGUCAAGUCAUCAUGGCCUCUAUGUCCAGGGCUACACACGUGCUACAAUGGCCGGUACAAACCGCUGCGAACUCGCGAGAGGGAGCCAAUCGGAAAAAGCCGGUCUCAGUUCGGAUUGGAGUCUGCAACUCGACUCCAUGAAGUUGGAAUCGCUAGUAAUCGCGGAUCAGCACGCCGCGGUGAAUACGUUCCCCGGGUCUUGUACACACCG